Drosophila sechellia is the source of this 1223-nucleotide ribosomal RNA. It matches the Rfam family "Eukaryotic small subunit ribosomal RNA". NCBI's taxonomy places the organism in Eukaryota, Metazoa, Arthropoda, Insecta, Diptera, Drosophilidae. The record is from Rfam.
AUUCUGGUUGAUCCUGUAGUUAUGUGAUCCAGUAGUUAUAUGCUUGUCUCAAAGAUUAAGCCAUGCAUGUCUAAGUACACACGAAUUAAAAGUGAAACCGCAAAAGGCUCAUUAUAUAAGUUAUGGUUCCUUAGAUCGUUAACAGUUACUUGAAUAACUGUGGUAAUUCUAGAGCUAAUACAUGCAAUUAAAACAUGAACCUUAUGGGACAUGUGCUUUUAUUCGGCUAAAACCAAGCGAUCGCAAGAUCGUUAUAUUGGUUGAACUCUAGAUAACAUGCAGAUCGUAUGGUCUUGUACCGAUGACAGAUCUUUCAAAUGUCUGCCCUAUCCACUUUUGAUGGUAUUAUCUAGGACUACCAUGGUUGCAACGGGUAACGGCGGUUCGAUUCCGGAGAGGGAGCCUGAGAAACGGCUACCACAUCUAAGGAAGGCAGCAGGCGCGUAAAUUACCCACUCCCAGCUCGGGGAGGUAGUGACGAAAAAUAACAAUACAGGACUCAUAUCCAAGGCCCUGUAAUUGGAAUGAGUACACUUUAAAUCCUUUAACAAGGACCAAUUGGUCCUUACCGGUGUAUUACCGGUGGAGUUCUUAUAUGUGAUUAAAUACUUGUAUUUUUUCAUAUGUUCCUCCUAUUUAAAAACCUGCACUAGUGCUCUUAAACGAGUGUUAUUGUGGGCCGGUACUAUUACUUUGAACAAAUUAGAGUGCUUAAAGCAGGCUUCAAAUGCCUUAAUAUUCUGUGAAUGGGAUAAUGAAAUAAGACCUCUGUUCUGCUUUCAUUGGUUUUCAGAUCAAGAGGUAAUGAUUAAUAGAAGCAGUUUGGGCGCAGAAGCAUACUACGCGAGACGUGAAAUUCUUGGACCGUACCUGUUGGGUUGUCCCAUUAUAAGGACACUAGCUUCUUAAAUGGACAAAUUGCGUCUAGCAAUAAUGAGAUUGAGCAAUAACAGGUGUGCAUGUCCUGGGCUGCACGAACGCUACAAUGAAAGUAUCAACGUGUAUUUCCUAGACCGAGAGGUCCGGGUAAGCCGCUGAACCACUUUCAUGCUUGGGAUUGUGAACUGAAACUAGUUCACAUGAACUCGGAAUUCCCAGUAAGUGUGAGUCAUUAACUCGCAUUGAUUACGACGUCCCCUGCCCUUUGUACACACCGCCCGUCGCUACUUCCCGAUUGAAUUAUUUAGUGAGGUCACCGGACGUGAUCACUGUGACGCCUUGCG